GAUGAACGCUGGCGGCGUGCCUAAUACAUGCAAGUCGAGCGAACAGACGAGGAGCUUGCUCCUCUGACGUUAGCGGCGGACGGGUGAGUAACACGUGGAUAACCUACCUAUAAGACUGGGAUAACUUCGGGAAACCGGAGCUAAUACCGGAUAAUUUAUUGAACCGCAUGGUUCAAUAGUGAAAGACGGUUUUGCUGUCACUUAUAGAUGGAUCCGCGCCGCAUUAGCUAGUUGGUAAGGUAACGGCUUACCAAGGCAACGAUGCGUAGCCGACCUGAGAGGGUGAUCGGCCACACUGGAACUGAGACACGGUCCAGACUCCUACGGGAGGCAGCAGUAGGGAAUCUUCCGCAAUGGGCGAAAGCCUGACGGAGCAACGCCGCGUGAGUGAUGAAGGUCUUCGGAUCGUAAAACUCUGUUAUUAGGGAAGAACAAAUGUGUAAGUAACUAUGCACGUCUUGACGGUACCUAAUCAGAAAGCCACGGCUAACUACGU
RNAcentral lists this ribosomal RNA (496 nucleotides) under uncultured bacterium. RNAcentral describes it as "partial 16S ribosomal RNA". It matches the Rfam family "Bacterial small subunit ribosomal RNA", at positions 28 to 506 of the family's 1533-position model. The record is from RNAcentral.